UACGUAGGGGGCAAGCGUUAUCCGGAUUUACUGGGCGUAAAGCGCGUGUAGGCGGUUGCGCAAGUUAGUUGUGAAAUCUUCCGGCUCAACCGGGAAACUGCAGCUAAUACUGCGUGGCUAGAGUGGCAGAGAGGAAAGUGGAAUUCCCGGUGUAGUAGUGAAAUGCGUAGAUAUCGGGAGGAACACCAGCGGCGAAGGCGACUUUCUGGCUGCUAACUGACGCUGAGACGCGAAAGCUAGGGGAGCGAACGG
This 252-nucleotide ribosomal RNA is filed under the name uncultured bacterium. RNAcentral's name for it is "partial 16S ribosomal RNA". It matches the Rfam family "Bacterial small subunit ribosomal RNA", at positions 524 to 775 of the family's 1533-position model. The record is from RNAcentral.